This 332-nucleotide ribosomal RNA is filed under the name uncultured Anoxybacillus sp. RNAcentral's name for it is "bacterial SSU rRNA". It matches the Rfam family "Bacterial small subunit ribosomal RNA", at positions 1049 to 1382 of the family's 1533-position model. The record is from RNAcentral. Lineage: Bacteria; Bacillati; Bacillota; Bacilli; Caryophanales; Anoxybacillaceae.
UUGUCGUCAGCUCGUGUCGUGAGAUGUUGGGUUAAGUCCCGCAACGAGCGCAACCCUCGACCUUAGUUGCCAGCAUUCAGUUGGGCACUCUAAGGUGACUGCCGGCUAAAAGUCGGAGGAAGGUGGGGAUGACGUCAAAUCAUCAUGCCCCUUAUGACCUGGGCUACACACGUGCUACAAUGGGCGGUACAAAGGGUCGCGAACCCGCGAGGGGGAGCCAAUCCCAAAAAGCCGCUCUCAGUUCGGAUUGCAGGCUGCAACCCGCCUGCAUGAAGCCGGAAUCGCUAGUAAUCGCGGAUCAGCAUGCCGCGGUGAAUACGUUCCCGGGCCUU